GCAACGGAGAGGUGUCCGAGUGGUUGAAGGAGCACGCCUGGAAAGUGUGUAAACGGGUCAAACCGUUUCGCGGGUUCGACCAAUUCGUCGGGAACGAAUUGGGACAGCCGCAGGCUGGCCCCGAGCGCAGCGAGGGGUGAGGCGCAGGAAGCGCCGAACAAUCCCGCCCCGCUGCC
Molecule: transfer RNA, 176 nt
Filed under: Dokdonella fugitiva
Lineage: Bacteria; Pseudomonadati; Pseudomonadota; Gammaproteobacteria; Lysobacterales; Rhodanobacteraceae
Description: tRNA-Ser
Source: RNAcentral